Molecule: long non-coding RNA, 560 nt
Organism: Megalops cyprinoides (Indo-Pacific tarpon)
Lineage: Eukaryota; Metazoa; Chordata; Actinopteri; Elopiformes; Megalopidae
Exons: 3
Source: RefSeq, a predicted model, not a curated record
GGGUGUAUACUACUGUGAAGUGUUUAUACCUAAGCCUGAGGGGUCAACAGAAGUGAAAGGCACUGGAACAGACCUUUCACUUCAUGCUAAGCCAUCUUCUGUGGAAAUCCUGCCACUGUCUCUACUAGUUUCUGGACGUGAGGCUGCCCUCUGCUGCACAGCAUAUGGGUUCUACCCUCAGAACCCCUCAAUGCUCUGGUUCCACAGAAAUACCUCAGUGGCAGCCAGCAACAUCAUCUCUAACAUCACCAGAGAAGAUGAUGGCACUUUCACCAUGAGCAGUCAGUAUAUGUUCAUCCCCUCAGAGGCUGACCACACUGCAGAGUGUCUCUGUCAGCUCUCUCACCCAGCCUGGAAACUGCAGAGGAAUGCCAGCAUCAAGCUCAACAUCAGCUAUGCACCCAGCUCUGUGAUUGUGACCUCACACUCAGGUCUUGUAAUUGGCUCCUUGCGCCUGACACAGGGAUCCUCCCUGAGCCUGAGCUGUGUUGCUAAUGGGAACCCCAGUCCUGAGAUACAGUGGCUGGGAGGAAACAUUACAACAGAGGACGACAGACAGA